GGUGGCUCAGUGGUAGAGCACUUGCUUUGCAUGCAUGAAGUCCUGGGUUCAAUUCCUCAGUACCA
Molecule: transfer RNA, 65 nt
Filed under: Dipodomys ordii (Ord's kangaroo rat)
Lineage: Eukaryota; Metazoa; Chordata; Mammalia; Rodentia; Heteromyidae
Rfam family: tRNA
About the family: Transfer RNA (tRNA) molecules are approximately 80 nucleotides in length.
Source: Rfam by way of RNAcentral